RNAcentral lists this unclassified non-coding RNA (253 nucleotides) under uncultured Bacillaceae bacterium. Its description in RNAcentral is "contains 16S-23S intergenic spacer region". It matches the Rfam family "Bacterial small subunit ribosomal RNA", at positions 524 to 776 of the family's 1533-position model. Lineage: Bacteria; Bacillati; Bacillota; Bacilli; Caryophanales; Bacillaceae. The record is from RNAcentral.
UACGUAGGUGGCAAGCGUUGUCCGGAAUUAUUGGGCGUAAAGCGCGCGCAGGCGGGUCCUUAAGUCUGAUGUGAAAGCCCACGGCUCAACCGUGGAGGGUCAUUGGAAACUGGGGAACUUGAGUGCAGAAGAGGAGAGUGGAAUUUCCUGUGUAGCGGUGAAAUGCGUAGAGAUGUGGAGGAACACCAGUGGCGAAGGCGACUUUCUGGCCUGUAACUGACGCUGAGGAGCGAAAGCGUGGGGAGCAAACAGG